This 653-nucleotide ribosomal RNA is filed under the name Absidia koreana. RNAcentral's name for it is "eukaryotic LSU rRNA". It matches the Rfam family "Eukaryotic large subunit ribosomal RNA", at positions 65 to 621 of the family's 3401-position model. Lineage: Eukaryota; Fungi; Mucoromycota; Mucoromycetes; Mucorales; Cunninghamellaceae. The record is from RNAcentral.
AUAACAAUGAUUCACCUACUAACGGCGAGUGAACAGGGAAAAGCUCAAAGUUGGAACCUCCUGGCCCUAGGCCUGGCGGAUUGUAAACUAAAGCUUUCGAGUAGUUCGGCUAGCCCAGUAAAUAAGUUCUCUGGAAAGGGACGACAAAGAGGGUGAAAUCCCCGUUUUUGGCUGGAGCAUAGUCUUGCGUUUGCUUGGAAGUGAAGAGUCAGGUUGUUUGGUAUUGCAGCCUAAAGUUGGAGGUAAAUCUCUCCUAAAGCUAAAUAUUGACGAAAGACCGAUAGCGAACAAGUACCGUGAGGGAAAGAUGAAAAGCACCUUGAAAAGGGGGUCAAAAAGUACGUGAAAUUGCUGAAAGGGAACCGUAUGAAAUCAGCCUGUCUCUUUGGUAAUCAGCCUGGACUUUGGUCUGGGUGCACUUGCCAGUGAGUCAGCCUACGACAAUUUGACCUGGGGGAAAAAAUCAGGGGGAAUGUGGCCUCGGCUUCGGUUGAGGUGUUAUAGCCCCUUGAAAAAUACUCUGGGUUGGAUUGAGGACUGCAGCGAGCCUUAUGGGAUGAACUGUGGGUGCUUGGUCAUAUCUAGAAAGAAAUCUCUAUCUCUGGAAGGGUCUUUUUAGUUGGGGUCAACUCCCCUACUUUUUCUUUUCUCGC